GAUACCAGGGACAACAAUGAAAAACCACGAUGUGCUUGCACAGGAGUGGUUUUCACUGAUUGUCCCGCCCCGGCAUGAGCAUAAAAGUGGAGCAUAAGCUUCACGAUAUGCGAAUGUUGGGUAGGAUUGUGAGAGUGCAGGGCACGGAACAAUCCGUGGGUAUC
RNAcentral lists this small RNA (164 nucleotides) under bovine gut metagenome. RNAcentral's name for it is "Clostridiales-1 RNA". It matches the Rfam family "Clostridiales-1 RNA". The record is from RNAcentral.